RNAcentral lists this long non-coding RNA (782 nucleotides) under Arabidopsis lyrata. RNAcentral describes it as "long non-coding RNA (ALYR_LNC002117)". The record is from RNAcentral. Lineage: Eukaryota; Viridiplantae; Streptophyta; Magnoliopsida; Brassicales; Brassicaceae.
UAGCAAAUCUCAGAGUUGCAGUAAUAACAAGACGUAUAAAUGGUUAUUUGGGGAGGCCAGUUUGAGGAUGGAGAAGGGCCUGAGUUUGCUCUUGGUCACAUACUCUAUCUUUUAAGUAGAGUUUAAAAAGUUCAUUUCAGAUUCAUUCCACAGGACCUCUUCCAGGUUAGAAAUAACUCACUUCACCUUUUUGAUUCUGACUUCCAAUUUUGGUUUCAUCUUGUUAGCCAAAACGACCUACUUUUGGAUUAUCACCAACAUACUCUCAUACUUGUUUUUGCUCAUUUCAGUUUCUCUACUUUUUCUACAGGUCAAAGAUUGCUCACUUGCUCAUUUCAGUUUCAACAAAAAAAAAAAAAAACGGAUUGCUCACUUGCAUGAUUUUUUUUUUUUUUUUUUUUUAAACAUCACAACGAUGGAUGGAUAUCUUGGUUACACAAUCAAAAUUACAAUACAAGAGAUUAAGAGGGGAAAAAAAGGCAAAAAUUCAAAACAUAAAACUCAAAUCUUUCAUUUGCAAUCUUCGAUUACCAGAUAUAUGACCCGCUGGCCUCGUGUUCGCGAAAACAAAUGUGAAUGGUGGGAAUUAUAGAGAUCUGAUGAAAAUGCAGAAGCUUUAUUCAAUCAUUUGCAAUAAUAAUGGUAUCAUGAUAAGUUCCCAGUAGUUAGGGAGUGACUCAACUCAAUUCUUGCAACUGCCAGCUUUGUUUAUGUUUAGGCCUUUGGCUUGAGCGGCUUGACGACCUCCCAAGUGAAGUCAGGGUCAUCACGCCCGAAAUGGC